RNAcentral lists this ribosomal RNA (1020 nucleotides) under Alternaria scirpicola. RNAcentral's name for it is "SSU rRNA". It matches the Rfam family "Eukaryotic small subunit ribosomal RNA", at positions 75 to 1104 of the family's 1831-position model. Lineage: Eukaryota; Fungi; Ascomycota; Dothideomycetes; Pleosporales; Pleosporaceae. The record is from RNAcentral.
UAUACCGUGAAACUGCGAAUGGCUCAUUAAAUCAGUUAUCGUUUAUUUGAUAAUACCUUACUACUUGGAUAACCGUGGUAAUUCUAGAGCUAAUACAUGCUGAAAAUCCCGACUUCGGAAGGGAUGUGCUUAUUAGAUAAAAAACCAAUGCCCUUCGGGGCUCUUUGGUGAUUCAUGAUAAUUUUACGGAUCGCAUAGCCUUGCGCUGGCGACGGUUCAUUCAAAUUUCUGCCCUAUCAACUUUCGAUGGUAAGGUAUUGGCUUACCAUGGUUUCAACGGGUAACGGGGAAUUAGGGUUCGAUUCCGGAGAGGGAGCCUGAGAAACGGCUACCACAUCCAAGGAAGGCAGCAGGCGCGCAAAUUACCCAAUCCCGACACGGGGAGGUAGUGACAAUAAAUACUGAUACAGGGCUCUUUUGGGUCUUGUAAUUGGAAUGAGUACAAUUUAAACCUCUUAACGAGGAACAAUUGGAGGGCAAGUCUGGUGCCAGCAGCCGCGGUAAUUCCAGCUCCAAUAGCGUAUAUUAAAGUUGUUGCAGUUAAAAAGCUCGUAGUUGAAACUUGGGCCUGGCUGGCGGGUCCGCCUCACCGCGUGCACUCGUCCGGCCGGGCCUUCCUUCUGAAGAACCUCAUGCCCUUCACUGGGCGUGUUGGGGAAUCAGGACUUUUACUUUGAAAAAAUUAGAGUGUUCAAAGCAGGCCUUUGCUCGAAUACGUUAGCAUGGAAUAAUAAAAUAGGGCGUGCGUUUCUAUUUUGUUGGUUUCUAGAGACGCCGCAAUGAUUAACAGGAACAGUCGGGGGCAUCAGUAUUCAGUUGUCAGAGGUGAAAUUCUUGGAUUUACUGAAGACUAACUACUGCGAAAGCAUUUGCCAAGGAUGUUUUCAUUAAUCAGUGAACGAAAGUUAGGGGAUCGAAGACGAUCAGAUACCGUCGUAGUCUUAACCGUAAACUAUGCCGACUAGGGAUCGGGCGAUGUUCUUUUUCUGACUCGCUCGGCACCUUACGAGAAAUCAAAGU